CACUGACGGCUUAUCGGGGGAUUAGGGUUCGAUUCCGGAGAGGGAGCCUGAGAAACGGCUACCACAUCUAAGGAAGGCAGCAGGCGCGCAAAUUACCCAAUUCUAACAGCAUAAGAGAGGUAGUGACAAGAAAUAACAAUACAAGGUAAUUAAAUUGCUUUGUAAUUGGAAUGAUAGAAAUUUAAACACUUUUUAAAGUAUCAAUUGGAGGGCAAGUCUGGUGCCAGCAGCCGCGGUAAUUCCAGCUCCAAUAGCGUAUAUUAAAAUUGUUGCAGUUAAAAAGCUCGUAGUUGAAUUUCUGUUAAAAAUAACCGGUCUGCUUUUUUUAAAAAUGGUAUCUUGGUGUGUUUUUACUACUAACGUCCAUUGAAACGUUUUUAACUUUAUUGUACUAAAUCGUUAUUUUGAGGAUUUUUACUUUGACAAAAAUAAAGUGAUUAUAACAGGGUUACUCUUUUGAAUACUGCAGCAUGCAAAAAUAAGAUAGGAUUUAACUUCUACGUUAUUGGUUUUAAGAACUAGAUUAAUGA
This 530-nucleotide ribosomal RNA is filed under the name Hepatozoon sp. KCMS-2016a. RNAcentral describes it as "partial 18S ribosomal RNA". It matches the Rfam family "Eukaryotic small subunit ribosomal RNA", at positions 350 to 868 of the family's 1831-position model. The record is from RNAcentral. Lineage: Eukaryota; Apicomplexa; Hepatozoidae.